RNAcentral lists this transfer RNA (73 nucleotides) under Paramuricea clavata. It matches the Rfam family "tRNA". Rfam says of the family: Transfer RNA (tRNA) molecules are approximately 80 nucleotides in length. Their secondary structure includes four short double-helical elements and three loops (D, anti-codon, and T loops). The record is from Rfam by way of RNAcentral. Lineage: Eukaryota; Metazoa; Cnidaria; Anthozoa; Malacalcyonacea; Plexauridae.
AACCGCGUAGCUCAGUUGGAAGAGCAUUGGUCUAGUAUUCCAAAGGUCGUAGGUUCGAAUCCCACCGUGGCCG